GACAGGGUCCACGUCAUGUCUGUCUGGUUUCAAGGUAUAAUAUUGUCCAUCAUGUACCCUGCAUUGAGGCAAAUUGAAGGAGUAGUCUAGCAUCUGCAACUGAAAUUUAGGGAUGGCACUGACAAAUACCUGUAAAAACUGAAAAUUCCUUAUCAGACUUGCAAGGCAGUGACAGAGUCCAGUGGUACAAAGGGUGGGUAUAGUUAGUGAUGGGUCACAUAGUUCAGCAGGGUUACAGUUGAUGGAAAGAAACUGUUCCUGAGCCUGCUGGUGUGGGAACGAAGAGACCUGUACCGCUUGCCUGAUGGUAGGAGGGCAAACAGUGUGUGGCAUGGAUGUGACAUUUCCCUGAUUAUGCUUCGCGCCCUGUGGAGCUUAAGCUGGAAGUCUAUGAUAGCUGGGUACCAGGGAUGUGCUGGACAGUUUUUACCACCCAUUGCCGUCAGAAAGCUCUCGAUUUUUCAGCGGUUAAAGUACACAAGGAUCUUGGGAGACAGGCGGGCCUUCUCCAGCCUCCUCAAAAAGUACUGGUGCUGCAGCGCCUUUUGACCAGGGCUGAGUUGUUGAGCGACCAGGAAAGGUCUUCUGAGAUGUGGACACCCAGGAAUUUGAAAAAUGAGAUAAAUUAGUUGUGCUUUAUUUCACCAGGUUCCACAUUGCCUCAAACAAAUGUAAACAAAUAUAUCCUCUCUGAGGGGCUGAUGGCUCUUUUCUUCAUGAAAGUAAUUGGGCUACUAGCUUGACCGUCAUGAAGGAGAAGACACAAUUCUUAAAGUAAGUACGAUACAAUAUUCCUUCAGCCAUCAUUGAGUUUAUAUGUUUUCCCAUGUUCUAUGUUUUUAAUUUGAACAAACAUGAAAAGAAACCGACAGAGAAUGAAAAUCAUCUGCAUGCUUAGAAAGAAACUAAGGCACACACGCACACAGUAUAUCUGUGUGAAUCUACACCACACGGACAUCAGACAAUGAUGAUAGUUGAUGUCUCCUCUUGGUGUAAUCUAUAUAUCCAACCAUCACAAUUGGUGAUAUCGAACCGUAGGGAGGAAAUGAUCAAGUGGAUACUUCAACAGUUGAAGAAACAACCUACUCAGUUGUUCGUGUUUGAUAACCCACUGAAAAUGAUCAUAGUCACAGUUUAUAAAAUUUACUAUUUAGGUCCUAAACAUUUCAUACAUGUAAACUUGUGUUUUCGAAUGGCGUCUAUCUGCCUCUCUUUUAGUAGAUUUUCUGAGGCUUAUGCCAGAGUGCGUAAGCGGAGCCGGCCAAGAAGAGCGAAUGUCUCUCACUGAGUGAGUGAUGUUGUGGAAAUUCUGAAACCUGAUGCAUUCUUACUGUUUAAAGGACUGAGUCCCAUUGUUUGGAUGUGAGAAUGAAUGAGUUACUAGUUAGAGAUGCUGAGAGGGAUUUGGUAUUUGUCCUAGGGGGGCAUCCUUGACCGGCACCAGCAGAUUGUAGGGUUAAUCGUAAAUCUGCCCAUCUGUAUAAAUCCCUUUAGUGUCUCUGUUGUUUGUCCAGGUGCUGUGAGUCUGCUCCUAGAGUUGAUGAG
Molecule: long non-coding RNA, 1545 nt
Organism: Esox lucius (northern pike)
Lineage: Eukaryota; Metazoa; Chordata; Actinopteri; Esociformes; Esocidae
Source: Ensembl